RNAcentral lists this transfer RNA (84 nucleotides) under Tsukamurella tyrosinosolvens. Its description in RNAcentral is "tRNA-Leu(gag)". It matches the Rfam family "tRNA". From Rfam's summary of the family: Transfer RNA (tRNA) molecules are approximately 80 nucleotides in length. Their secondary structure includes four short double-helical elements and three loops (D, anti-codon, and T loops). The record is from RNAcentral. Lineage: Bacteria; Bacillati; Actinomycetota; Actinomycetes; Mycobacteriales; Tsukamurellaceae.
GCGCCCGUGGCGGAAUGGCAGACGCGCCGAUCUGAGGGGUCGGUGUCUCCGGACGUGCAGGUUCAACUCCUGUCGGGCGCACCA